GACGAACCGUGCGAACGUUGUUCGGAAUCACUGGGCUUAAGGGGCGCGUAGGCGGGCUGUCAAGUUUGGGGUGAAAUCCCGCGGCUCAACCGUGGAACUGCCUCAAAUACUGACGGCCUCGAGGAAGGUAGGGGCAUGCGGAACUGUAGGUGGAGCGGUGAAAUGCGUUGAUAUCUACAGGAACUCCGGUGGCGAAAGCGGCGUGCUGGACCUUUUCUGACGCUGAGGCGCGAAAGCUAGGGGAGCAAACGGG
RNAcentral lists this ribosomal RNA (253 nucleotides) under uncultured bacterium. RNAcentral's name for it is "partial 16S ribosomal RNA". It matches the Rfam family "Bacterial small subunit ribosomal RNA", at positions 524 to 776 of the family's 1533-position model. The record is from RNAcentral.